RNAcentral lists this unclassified non-coding RNA (190 nucleotides) under Papiliotrema nemorosa. RNAcentral describes it as "Papiliotrema nemorosus partial internal transcribed spacer region". The stretch from base 1 to 46 matches the Rfam family "Eukaryotic small subunit ribosomal RNA", at positions 1786 to 1831 of the family's 1831-position model. Lineage: Eukaryota; Fungi; Basidiomycota; Tremellomycetes; Tremellales; Rhynchogastremaceae. RNAcentral also lists the same sequence under 1 other name. The record is from RNAcentral.
AAGUCGUAACAAGGUUUCCGUAGGUGAACCUGCGGAAGGAUCAUUAAUGAUUGACCGAAAGGUCUUAUCUUAACAUCCCUCACCUCUGUGAACCGUUUGACCUCCGGGUCUAGCAAUACAAACAUCAGUGUAAUGAACGUCUUGUUAUCUUAACAAAACAAAACUUUUAACAACGGAUCUCUUGGCUCUC